RNAcentral lists this long non-coding RNA (670 nucleotides) under Homo sapiens (human). RNAcentral describes it as "non-protein coding lnc-KMT5A-1:19". The record is from RNAcentral. Lineage: Eukaryota; Metazoa; Chordata; Mammalia; Primates; Hominidae.
AGGAACAUCCAAAUCUCCUCAGCGGUUAAACCGACCCCAAACCACUUCUGGGAAACCACCGGUAUCCACUGCUUUGGGGAACUCUGGAUGCUCGUUAUGCCAAACGCUCUCAAAGUGAAGGAAGAUGAUUUCCCCCCCAUCUUGACCACCCCCCAGUCUUCGCCGCCAAAAACGGACUCCGCCGGCUAUCCUCGGCCCGGUACCAGUUGUUGGAUCCAAGAGAAUUCCGGAACCCAAACGGCUCGCUCAAAGCACUUUAUUGGCAGUGAAACCGCAAGUAACCCGGAGCCCUCGGCGCGACCACGGCUAGAAUCAGAGCCUAAGGCGUGUGAGCUCAGCCAUCCCACGUCUGUCUUCACGCUCAUACGCAAGCCCGACACACCGGGGCUCCCACUUAAUGAAUACUGAAGAGUAGGGCUGUCCCUACCGCUUCUCACUUCCUUGUUUUCAUCUUUUCGUUAUUAUUAAGCGACCUAACACAAUAAACAUAUUACCUUGUUGGUAACCCUUUUGUAAAGUCAUUCUGAAAGUGCUGUUUGACUCCGUUGCUUGGGUAAUAAGCACGCCUGGGUGAUUCUUGCCCCCUACUGGCUGCGCAUCCUACAAGCCUAGUGCUGAAAGCAAACCAAGUAGCUGGAACAGUUGGAGGUUACAGUGUGAACUCUUCCAG